This 301-nucleotide ribosomal RNA is filed under the name uncultured bacterium. RNAcentral's name for it is "partial 16S ribosomal RNA". It matches the Rfam family "Bacterial small subunit ribosomal RNA", at positions 509 to 807 of the family's 1533-position model. The record is from RNAcentral.
CAGCAGCCACGGGAAAACAGAGGAUGCAAGCGUUAUCCGGAAUGAUUGGGCGUAAAGCGUCUGUAGGUGGCUUUUCAAGUCCGCCGUCAAAUCCCCGGGCUCAACCCUGGACAGGCAGUGGAAACUACCAAGCUGGAGUACGGUAGGGGCAGAGGGAAUUCCCAGUGUAGAGGUGAAAUUCGUAGAUAUUGGGAAGAACACCGGUGGCGAAGGCGGCGACCUGGUCUUUUACUGACGCUGAGGCGCGAAAGCGUGGGGAGCAAACAGGAUUAGAUACCCGCGUAGUCCCUGUCUCUUAUAC